GCGAGCGUUAAUCGGAAUUACUGGGCGUAAAGCGCAUGCAGGUGGUUUGUUAAGUUCAGAUGUGAAAGACCCGGGGCGUCAACCUCCGGAAUUAGCAUUUGUAAACUAGGCAAACUAAGAGUACUGUAGAGGGGGGUAGGAAUUUCAGGUGUAGCGGUGAAAUGCGUAGAGAUCUGAAGGAAUACCGGUGGCGAAGGCGGCCCCCCUCGGACAGAUACUGACACUCAGAUGCGAAAGCGUGGGGAGCAAACAGGAUUAGAUACCCCUGGUAG
RNAcentral lists this ribosomal RNA (272 nucleotides) under uncultured bacterium. Its description in RNAcentral is "partial 16S ribosomal RNA". It matches the Rfam family "Bacterial small subunit ribosomal RNA", at positions 534 to 793 of the family's 1533-position model. The record is from RNAcentral.